This 800-nucleotide ribosomal RNA is filed under the name uncultured bacterium. RNAcentral's name for it is "bacterial SSU rRNA". It matches the Rfam family "Bacterial small subunit ribosomal RNA", at positions 8 to 800 of the family's 1533-position model. The record is from RNAcentral.
AGAGUUUGAUCCUGGCUCAGAACGAACGCUGGCGGCGUGUUUAAGACAUGCAAGUCGCACGGGAUUGAUUGAGUAGUAAUACAAGAUCAGUCUAGUGGCGCACGGGUGAGUAACAUGUGAAUUACAUGCCCUAUAGUGGGGAAUAGCCCAGGGAAACUUGGAUUAAUACCCCAUAGUCUCGCAAGAGUAAAGGUGGCCGCAAGGCUGUCGCUAUAGGAUUGGUUCGCACCCUAUCAGCUUGUUGGUGAGGUAAUGGCUCACCAAGGCUACGACGGGUACCUGGUCUGAGAGGACGAUCAGGCACACUGGAACUGAGACACGGUCCAGACACCUACGGGUGGCAGCAGUCGAGAAUAAUUCACAAUGGGGGCAACCCUGAUGGUGCAACGCCGCGUGGAGGAUGACGGUCUUCGGAUUGUAAACUCCUGUCAUCUGGGAGUAAGGCAUGGUUGUUAAUAGCAAACAUGAUUGAUAGUACCAGAAGAGGAAGGGACGGCUAACUUCGUGCCAGCAGCCGCGGUAAUACGAAGGUCCCAAGCGUUGUUCGGAAUCACUGGGCGUAAAGGGAGCGUAGGCGGCGUGGUAAGUCAGAUGUGAAAUCCCGGGGCUCAACCCCGGAACUGCAUCCGAUACUGCCAUGCUAGAGGAUUGGAGAGGUAGCUGGAAUUCUUGGUGUAGCAGUGAAAUGCGUAGAGAUCAAGAGGAACACUCGUGGCGAAAGCGAGCUACUGGACAAUUCCUGACGCUGAGGCUCGAAGGCUAGGGUAGCGAAAGGGAUUAGAUACCCCUGUAGUCCUAGC